UGGGGAAUAUUGGGCAAUGGGCGCAAGCCUGACCCAGCCACGCCGCGUGAGUGAUGAAGGCCUUCGGGUCGUAAAGCUCUGUGGGGAGGGACGAAACCUGGCGACCUAACACGUCGUUAGCUGACGGUACCUCCUUAGCAAGCACCGGCUAACUCCGUGCCAGCAGCCGCGGUAAUACGGAGGGUGCAAACGUUGCUCGGAAUCAUUGGGCGUAAAGCGCACGUAGGCGGUCCGUUAAGUCGGGAGUGAAAGCCCCAGGCUCAACUUGGGAAGUGCUUUCGAAACUGGCGGACUUGAAUACUGGAGAGGAUCGCGGAAUUCCCGGUGUAGAGGUGAAAUUCGUAGAUAUCGGGAGGAACACCAGUGGCGAAGGCGGCGAUCUGGACAGAUAUUGACGCUGAGGUGCGAAAGCGUGGGGAGCAAACAGGAUUAGAUACCCCCGUAGUCC
This 448-nucleotide ribosomal RNA is filed under the name uncultured bacterium. RNAcentral's name for it is "bacterial SSU rRNA". It matches the Rfam family "Bacterial small subunit ribosomal RNA", at positions 355 to 796 of the family's 1533-position model. The record is from RNAcentral.